This 750-nucleotide ribosomal RNA is filed under the name Kocuria sp. RNAcentral describes it as "bacterial SSU rRNA". It matches the Rfam family "Bacterial small subunit ribosomal RNA", at positions 60 to 818 of the family's 1533-position model. The record is from RNAcentral. Lineage: Bacteria; Bacillati; Actinomycetota; Actinomycetes; Micrococcales; Micrococcaceae.
AGUCGACGCUGAGCUUGGUGCUUGCACUGGGUGGAUGAGUGGCGAACGGGUGAGUAAUACGUGAGUAACCUGCCCUUGACUCUGGGAUAAGCCUGGGAAACUGGGUCUAAUACUGGAUACGACAUGUCACCGCAUGGUGGUGUGUGGAAAGGGUUUUACUGGUUUUGGAUGGGCUCACGGCCUAUCAGCUUGUUGGUGGGGUAAUGGCUCACCAAGGCGACGACGGGUAGCCGGCCUGAGAGGGUGACCGGCCACACUGGGACUGAGACACGGCCCAGACUCCUACGGGAGGCAGCAGUGGGGAAUAUUGCACAAUGGGCGAAAGCCUGAUGCAGCGACGCCGCGUGAGGGAUGACGGCCUUCGGGUUGUAAACCUCUUUCAGCACGGAAGAAGCGAAAGUGACGGUACGUGCAGAAGAAGCGCCGGCUAACUACGUGCCAGCAGCCGCGGUAAUACGUAGGGCGCAAGCGUUGUCCGGAAUUAUUGGGCGUAAAGAGCUCGUAGGCGGUUUGUCGCGUCUGCUGUGAAAGCCCGGGGCUUAACCCCGGGUGUGCAGUGGGUACGGGCAGACUUGAGUGCAGUAGGGGAGACUGGAAUUCCUGGUGUAGCGGUGAAAUGCGCAGAUAUCAGGAGGAACACCGAUGGCGAAAGGCAGGUCUCUGGGCUGUUACUGACGCUGAGGAGCGAAAGCAUGGGGAGCGAACAGGAUUAGAUACCCUGGUAGUCCAUGCCGUAAACGUUGGGCACUA